GACGAACGCUGGCGGCGUGCUUAACACAUGCAAGUCGAACGGAAAGGCCCUGCGUUUGUGGGGUUCUCGAGUGGCGAACGGGUGAGUAACACGUGAGUAACCUGCCCUUGACUUUGGGAUAACUUCAGGAAACUGGGGCUAAUACCGGAUAGGAGCUCCUGCUGCAUGGUGGGGGUUGGAAAGUUUCGGCGGUUGGGGAUGGACUCGCGGCUUAUCAGCUUGUUGGUGGGGUAGUGGCUUACCAAGGCUUUGACGGGUAGCCGGCCUGAGAGGGUGAACGGCCACAUUGGGACUGAGAUACGGCGCAGACUCCUACGGGAGGCAGCAGUGGAGAGUAUUGCACAAUGGGCGGAAGCCUGAUGCAGCAACGCCGCGUGCGGGAUGACGGCCUUCGGGUUGUAAACCGCUUUCGCCUGUGACGAAGCGUGAGUGACGGUAAUGGGUAAAGAAGCACCGGCUAACUACGUG
RNAcentral lists this ribosomal RNA (468 nucleotides) under uncultured bacterium. RNAcentral describes it as "partial 16S ribosomal RNA". It matches the Rfam family "Bacterial small subunit ribosomal RNA", at positions 28 to 507 of the family's 1533-position model. The record is from RNAcentral.